Non-coding RNA from Phrynosoma platyrhinos (Desert horned lizard), 72 nucleotides. NCBI's taxonomy places the organism in Eukaryota, Metazoa, Chordata, Lepidosauria, Squamata, Phrynosomatidae. The record is from the annotation of a GenBank genome assembly.
GCCAGAAUGGUGUAGUGGUUUGAGCAUUGGUCUAUGACUCUGGAGACCAGGGUUCAAAUCCCUGCUUGAUCA